RNAcentral lists this ribosomal RNA (257 nucleotides) under uncultured bacterium. Its description in RNAcentral is "partial 16S ribosomal RNA". It matches the Rfam family "Bacterial small subunit ribosomal RNA", at positions 524 to 776 of the family's 1533-position model. The record is from RNAcentral.
UACAGAGGGUGCGAGCGUUGUCCGGAAUCACUGGGCGUAAAGGGCGCGUAGGUGGUGGCUUAAGCGUGCGGUGAAAGCUCGGGGCUCAACUCCGAGUCGGCCGUGCGAACUGGGCUCACUGGAGCAUAGUAGAGGCAGGUGGAAUUCCGGGUGUAGCGGUGGAAUGCGUAGAGAUCCGGAAGAACACCGGUGGCGAAGGGCGGCCUGCUGGGCUAUGGGCUGACACUGAGGCGCGGACAGCGUGGGGAGCAAACAGG